This 491-nucleotide ribosomal RNA is filed under the name uncultured bacterium. RNAcentral's name for it is "partial 16S ribosomal RNA". It matches the Rfam family "Bacterial small subunit ribosomal RNA", at positions 29 to 507 of the family's 1533-position model. The record is from RNAcentral.
GUGCACGCUGGCGGUGGGCCUCACACAUGCAAGUCGAACGGCAGCACAGUAAGAGCUUGCUCUUACGGGUGGCGAGUGGCGGACGGGUGAGGAAUACAUCGGAAUCUACUUUUUCGUGGGGGAUAACGUAGGGAAACUUACGCUAAUACCGCAUACGACCUACGGGUGAAAGCAGGGGAUCUUCGGACCUUGCGCGAUUGAAUGAGCCGAUGUCGGAUUAGCUAGUUGGCGGGGUAAAGGCCCACCAAGGCGACGAUCCGUAGCUGGUCUGAGAGGAUGAUCAGCCACACUGGAACUGAGACACGGUCCAGACUCCUACGGGAGGCAGCAGUGGGGAAUAUUGGACAAUGGGCGCAAGCCUGAUCCAGCCAUACCGCGUGGGUGAAGAAGGCCUUCGGGUUGUAAAGCCCUUUUGUUGGGAAAGAAAAGCAGCAGGUUAAUACCCCGCUGUUCUGACGGUACCCAAAGAAUAAGCACCGGCUAACUUCGUG